This 575-nucleotide long non-coding RNA is filed under the name Ananas comosus (pineapple). Its description in RNAcentral is "long non-coding RNA (ACOM_LNC023867)". Lineage: Eukaryota; Viridiplantae; Streptophyta; Magnoliopsida; Poales; Bromeliaceae. The record is from RNAcentral.
UUUUAAUUUAGGGAUAAUUGUUUAUAUACCUCUCAAAACUUCGAAAAUAUCUAAUUUACCCCUUUUUAAUUUUUUUUCUUUCCAAUAUACUCCUCAUAUGUUUCCUCGUUCUUCCAAAAUACCUAUGCAGUUACUACCCGUUAAGUUAACUUGGGUUAAACGUGAGCUAAAUAUCUACCAGAGUUAAAAAAAUCAAAAUGCCUCUUUUACCCUUAACUUAAGGACAAAUAAGAAAUAUUGGUGAUGGUAGAAGGGUAUAUUUAAAAAGAUUAAAAAUUAAAAUACUUUUUGUGCCCCUAACUUAAGAGCAACUAAAAAAAAUUGGUGAUGGCAGAAUGAUAUAUUUGAAAGGGUAAAAUAGUAAUUUCAUAAAGAUAACAGUUAUUGUUAACAGUUCAUUAACAGAAUUUAAGAAUACAUUGAAAAUGGGUUGGAACGUAAAAAAAGUAUUUUUAAUAUUAGCUUUCUAAAAGCGAUAAAUCAGAAAGUCAAAAUUUUUUCAAGAAUAUACAAACAAUUGCCCUUUUAAUUUAUAACAUAUUCAACACUUUUGAAUAACUACUAGAUUUCUAAAA